GGGUUGUGAGGUUAAGCGACUAAGCGUACACGGUGGAUGCCCUGGCAGUCAGAGGCGAUGAAGGACGUGCUAAUCUGCGAAAAGCGCCGGCGAGGUGAUAUGAACCUUUGACCCGGCGAUGUCCGAAUGGGGAAACCCAGUGUGUUCCGACACACUAUCGUUAACUGAAUACAUAGGUUAACGAGGCGAACCGGGGGAACUGAAACAUCUAAGUACCCCGAGGAAAAGAAAUCAACCGAGAUUCCCCCAGUAGCGGCGAGCGAACGGGGAGCAG
This 274-nucleotide ribosomal RNA is filed under the name Enterobacter cloacae complex sp. 743-2DZ2F-22B. RNAcentral's name for it is "partial 23S ribosomal RNA". It matches the Rfam family "Bacterial large subunit ribosomal RNA", at positions 1 to 267 of the family's 2925-position model. The record is from RNAcentral. Lineage: Bacteria; Pseudomonadati; Pseudomonadota; Gammaproteobacteria; Enterobacterales; Enterobacteriaceae. RNAcentral also lists the same sequence under 1 other name.